Molecule: non-coding RNA, 105 nt
Organism: Otolemur garnettii (small-eared galago)
Lineage: Eukaryota; Metazoa; Chordata; Mammalia; Primates; Galagidae
Source: Rfam
GGUUGAUCCAAAGGUAGUGAAUUAUUUCAAUUGAUUGUUCACAGUCAGUUAUAGAUCCUCUUCUACUCUGUCCAUCUUCUCACUAUUGCACUUGAGUACUAUUUU